UACGUAGGGGGCAAGCGUUGUCCGGAAUCAUUGGGCGUAAAGAGCGUGUAGGCGGUUCGGUAAGUCGGCUGUGAAAGUCCAGGGCUCAACCCUGGGAUGCCGGUCGAUACUGCCGGACUAGAGUUCGGAAGAGGCGAGUGGAAUUCCCGGUGUAGCGGUGAAAUGCGCAGAUAUCGGGAGGAACACCUAUGGCGAAGGCAGCUCGCUGGGACGUUACUGACGCUGAGACGCGAAAGCGUUGGGAGCAAACAGG
RNAcentral lists this ribosomal RNA (253 nucleotides) under uncultured bacterium. RNAcentral's name for it is "partial 16S ribosomal RNA". It matches the Rfam family "Bacterial small subunit ribosomal RNA", at positions 524 to 776 of the family's 1533-position model. The record is from RNAcentral.